GUCCAGUGACGAGUCCCAAACAGGACGAAACGCGCGUCCUGGAU
This 44-nucleotide non-coding RNA is filed under the name Schistosoma mansoni. Lineage: Eukaryota; Metazoa; Platyhelminthes; Trematoda; Strigeidida; Schistosomatidae. The record is from RNAcentral.